RNAcentral lists this ribosomal RNA (465 nucleotides) under uncultured bacterium. RNAcentral's name for it is "partial 16S ribosomal RNA". It matches the Rfam family "Bacterial small subunit ribosomal RNA", at positions 28 to 507 of the family's 1533-position model. The record is from RNAcentral.
GACGGACGCUGGCGGCGUGCUUAACACAUGCAAGUCGAACGGAAAGGCCCCAGCUUGCUGGGGUACUCGAGUGGCGAACGGGUGAGUAACACGUGGGUGAUCUGCCCUGCACUCUGGGAUAAGCCUGGGAAACUGGGUCUAAUACCGGAUAGGACCGUGCUUUAGUGUGUGCGGUGGAAAGUUUUUCGGUGCAGGAUGAGCCCGCGGCCUAUCAGCUUGUUGGUGGGGUAAUGGCCUACCAAGGCGGCGACGGGUAGCCGGCCUGAGAGGGUGUACGGCCACAUUGGGACUGAGACACGGCCCAGACUCCUACGGGAGGCAGCAGUGGGGAAUAUUGCACAAUGGGCGCAGGCCUGAUGCAGCGACGCCGCGUGGGGGAUGACGGCCUUCGGGUUGUAAACCCCUUUCGGCAGGGACGAAGCUUUUGUGACGGUACCUGCAGAAGAAGCACCGGCUAACUACGUG